GUUAUAGACACCUGUUGAGCUGAUACGGUUCACUCAACAUACAAAAAUAAAAGUUACCUUAGGGAUAACAGCGUAAUUCUGGUAGAGAGGUCCUAUUGACGCCGGAGUUUGCGACCUCGAUGUUGAAUCUAGAUGUCCUGGGGGUGGAGAGGCCUCCAAGGGUUGGACUGUUCGCCCAUUAAAAUCUAACGUGAUUUGAGUUCAGACCGUUGUAAAGCAGGUCAGUUUCUAUCUACUGAGCAUUUUCAGAAUUAUAUACCAAGGCAUCCGCCUCGUACGAGAGGAUGGGAGGGUAUGGUUUUCCCUUGAUUUUCAAUUAGGCCACUUUGUCUCGUUGAGUCUCUACAAAGCAGGGCUUUACCCUCUGAUACAGACACAGUGGAAAUUCCUUCUCAAUUCUUAAUAGUUACUUAUGUCAAGUUAGGCUUCUCUCAACCUUGAGCCAAUCAGAGGUUAUUCCUUAAGAGCAUAUCUGAUUUAUUUAAACAUC
Molecule: ribosomal RNA, 490 nt
Filed under: Clathrina clathrus
Lineage: Eukaryota; Metazoa; Porifera; Calcarea; Clathrinida; Clathrinidae
Description: LSU rRNA
Rfam family: Bacterial large subunit ribosomal RNA (bases 1-434)
Source: RNAcentral